AAGUCAUCAUGGCCCUUACGAUAGGGCUACACACGUGCUACAAUGGCAUAAUACAAAGGAGAAGCGAACUCGCGAGAGCAAGCGGACCUACAUAAAGUAUGUCGUAGUCCGGAUUGGAGUCUGCAACUCGACUCCAUGAAGUCGGAAUCGCUAGUAAUCGUAGAUCAGAAUGCUACGGUGAAUACGUUCCCGGGCCUU
RNAcentral lists this ribosomal RNA (198 nucleotides) under uncultured Enterobacteriaceae bacterium. RNAcentral describes it as "partial 16S ribosomal RNA". It matches the Rfam family "Bacterial small subunit ribosomal RNA", at positions 1187 to 1382 of the family's 1533-position model. Lineage: Bacteria; Pseudomonadati; Pseudomonadota; Gammaproteobacteria; Enterobacterales; Enterobacteriaceae. The record is from RNAcentral.